This 419-nucleotide ribosomal RNA is filed under the name uncultured bacterium. Its description in RNAcentral is "bacterial SSU rRNA". It matches the Rfam family "Bacterial small subunit ribosomal RNA", at positions 358 to 769 of the family's 1533-position model. The record is from RNAcentral.
GGAAUAUUGGACAAUGGGCGCAAGCCUGAUCCAGCCAUGCCGCGUGUGUGAAGAAGGCCUUCGGGUUGUAAAGCACUUUCAGCGAGGAGGAAGGGGUUGUUGUUAAUAGCAACAAUUUUUGCCGUUACUCGCAGAAGAAGCACCGGCUAACUCCGUGCCAGCAGCCGCGGUAAUACGGAGGGUGCUAGCGUUAAGCGGAAUUACUGGGCAUACCGCGCACGCAGGCGGCUUUUUAAGUCGGAUGUGAAAGCCCCGGGCUCAACCUGGGAAUUGCAUUCGAUACUGGGAAGCUAGAGUAUGUGAGAGGGGGGUAGAAUUCCAAGUGUAGCGGUGAAAUGCGUAGAGAUUUGGAGGAAUACCAGUGGCGAAGGCGGCCCCCUGGCACAAUACUGACGCUCAGGUGCGAAAGCGUGGGGAGC